ACGCUCGACACCUACGGGAGGCAGCAGUGGGGAAUAUUGCACAAUGGGGGAAACCCUGAUGCAGCGACGCCGCGUGAGUGAAGAAGUAUUUCGGUAUGUAAAGCUCUAUCAGCAGGGAANAAAAUGACGGUACCUGAGUAAGAAGCCCCGGCUAACUACGUGCCACAGCCGCGGUAAUCUGAGCGGGCUGGCAAGGC
Molecule: ribosomal RNA, 197 nt
Filed under: uncultured bacterium
Lineage: Bacteria
Description: partial 16S ribosomal RNA
Rfam family: Bacterial small subunit ribosomal RNA
Source: RNAcentral